This 253-nucleotide ribosomal RNA is filed under the name uncultured bacterium. Its description in RNAcentral is "partial 16S ribosomal RNA". The stretch from base 127 to 253 matches the Rfam family "Bacterial small subunit ribosomal RNA", at positions 403 to 526 of the family's 1533-position model. The record is from RNAcentral.
GCCUCCCUCCGCCGCCACUCACGACUACCGUACGGGACGGACGAGCGAGGUGGGGUAAGUUUUGGGUAACGUAAGUGGGGGACCGAACCCGUACGACUCCACGCCGACCGCCCGGCCGGUCGGAAGGGAGUAGGAAGGUCGUUCGGAUCGUAACUUCUUUAGUAGGGUAUGAAUGAGUUGGUGAAUAGACCAACUGUGACAGUACUCUUUGAAUAAGCCACGGCUAACUACGUGCCAGCAGCCGCGGUAAUUC